GACGAACGCUGGCGGCGUGCUUAACACAUGCAAGUCGAACGGGAUGAUCUUAAAGCUUGCUUUUAGAGAAUCUAGUGGCAAACGGGUGAGUAACACGUAGACAACCUGCCGACAGGAUGGGGACAACAUUCCGAAAGGAAUGCUAAUACCGAAUGAAGUCAGAGAAGGGCAUCCUUUUCUGAUGAAAGAUGGCCUCUUUUUAUGCUAUCACCUGUUGAUGGGUCUGCGUCUGAUUAGCUAGUUGGUGAGGUAACGGCUCACCAAGGCGACGAUCAGUAGCCGGUCUGAGAGGAUGAACGGCCACAUUGGGACUGAGACACGGCCCAGACUCCUACGGGAGGCAGCAGUGGGGAAUCUUCCGCAAUGGGCGCAAGCCUGACGGAGCAACGCCGCGUGAGUGAAGAAGGUCUUCGGAUCGUAAAGCUCUGUUGACGGGGACGAACGUGCGGAGUGCGAAUAGCG
Molecule: ribosomal RNA, 462 nt
Filed under: Selenomonas sp. oral taxon F19
Lineage: Bacteria; Bacillati; Bacillota; Negativicutes; Selenomonadales; Selenomonadaceae
Description: bacterial SSU rRNA
Rfam family: Bacterial small subunit ribosomal RNA
Source: RNAcentral